AGCCGGUUCUCGGACGCGCUCCUCGCAUUCGUAUGCUCCAUCUCAUUGACGUCACCGCGGUCACUUGUCGUGCGCGGUUCCACACUACGUUUUUCGACAACGGCACGGCACGGCACGUAAUACGUAGGUUUUAAUUAUCAAUGCUGUUAU
Long non-coding RNA from Aricia agestis (brown argus), 150 nucleotides. RefSeq lists it as uncharacterized. NCBI's taxonomy places the organism in Eukaryota, Metazoa, Arthropoda, Insecta, Lepidoptera, Lycaenidae. The transcript has 5 exons. The record is from RefSeq and is a predicted model, not a curated record.